This 253-nucleotide ribosomal RNA is filed under the name uncultured bacterium. RNAcentral's name for it is "partial 16S ribosomal RNA". It matches the Rfam family "Bacterial small subunit ribosomal RNA", at positions 524 to 776 of the family's 1533-position model. The record is from RNAcentral.
UACGUAGGGGGCGAGCGUUGUCCGGAAUUAUUGGGCGUAAAGAGCUUGUAGGCGGUUUGUCGCGUCUGCUGUGAAAUUUCGGGGCUCAACCCCGAACUUGCAGUGGGUACGGGCAGACUAGAGUGUGGUAGGGGAGACUGGAAUUCCUGGUGUAGCGGUGAAAUGCGCAGAUAUCAGGAGGAACACCGAUGGCGAAGGCAGGUCUCUGGGCCAUAACUGACGCUGAGAAGCGAAAGCAUGGGGAGCGAACAGG